This 347-nucleotide long non-coding RNA is filed under the name Elaeis guineensis (African oil palm). RNAcentral describes it as "long non-coding RNA (EGUI_LNC082959)". The record is from RNAcentral. Lineage: Eukaryota; Viridiplantae; Streptophyta; Magnoliopsida; Arecales; Arecaceae.
UGAUGAGACGGAUGGAGUUCGGCGCCAGUUGCGCCGGACAGAGUCCGUAAUAAUCUAAUAAAUUCCGGACGAACUCCGGAAUCGGAAGCCGAAGACCCGCGCGAAGGUCUUCAACAUACAGCGCCAGAUCGCCGGGCGGAGGGCUGUUAACCCGACCGCCGGCUCCUGGAGCGGAGAGCCGGAACUGCUCCGGGAUGCGAUAUUGCUCCCGAAGCCGAUCGACAUUCGGCCCCGAAAGCGAGGAGACCUCUACUUCCGGAGUCGACCGGGAGUCGUCGGUCGGGUUUCCCGACCGACCUCCCCGAGUCGGAUUUCCGGCCAUUGCACCGGAACCGAACAGGAAAAGA